UGUGUGUGUGUGUGUGUGUGUGCAUAUAUAUAUAUAUAUAUAUAUAUAUAUAUAUAUAUAUAUAUGGACUAUGCACACU
Podarcis lilfordi (Lilford's wall lizard) is the source of this 79-nucleotide non-coding RNA. NCBI's taxonomy places the organism in Eukaryota, Metazoa, Chordata, Lepidosauria, Squamata, Lacertidae. The record is from the annotation of a GenBank genome assembly.